CACGGAGGGUGCGAGCGUUAUCCGGAAUUACUGGGUUUAAAGGGUGCGUAGGCGGCUAUGUAAGUCAGGAGUGAAAGUUUGCGGCUCAACCGUAAAAUUGCUUUUGAUACUGCAUGGCUAGAAUUAGGAUGAGGUCAGCGGAAUGUGGCAUGUAGCGGUGAAAUGCAUAGAUAUGCCAUAGAACACCAAUUGCGAAGGCAGCUGGCUAGACCUGGAUUGACGCUGAGGCACGAAAGCGUGGGGAGCGAACAGG
This 253-nucleotide ribosomal RNA is filed under the name uncultured bacterium. Its description in RNAcentral is "partial 16S ribosomal RNA". It matches the Rfam family "Bacterial small subunit ribosomal RNA", at positions 524 to 776 of the family's 1533-position model. The record is from RNAcentral.